Long non-coding RNA from Hypomesus transpacificus, 1864 nucleotides. RefSeq lists it as uncharacterized. Lineage: Eukaryota; Metazoa; Chordata; Actinopteri; Osmeriformes; Osmeridae. The record is from RefSeq and is a predicted model, not a curated record. The transcript is spliced from 3 exons.
ACCCAGGUGCCGUACAGGAAGGAGGGAGUGGAAGGGAGGCGAGCGUGCUGAGACAAAAUGCCAUCCUCAUUACAAUAAAAGCAUUUCGAAGACGUUCUAUUUGGAGGUUUUCUUUGAAUAGAGGCCCCAGCCCUGCUGCAGGUGGGCGCGGAGCGACCGACACAGGCAGAGAUCAGGGAAGCCGAGGGGGGCGCUUCAGGCCUGUGGAGGAGCAGAGGCCCUGACAACAAGCAGCCUCGUCACAGAGAAAAGGGCUCAAAGUCUAGCGCUUCGUAAUUGGAAGUUUAUCCAAACACCAAGACUCCCCAUUCUCUCCCUCCCUCUCUUUCGCGCUACAUCUAUCUAUCUCUCUCUCCCCCUCCCUCCUAUUAUCACUCUCUCUAUCUCUCUAUGCAGGUGCAGUUCUGGUUCAGCAGCCUUGCGGUUCUCCACAAACACAUCUCCGUCCCAGCAUAUGGAUCACCAGCAUUACCAGCUGGUCUCUUGGUUUUCUGGUCUAGUGACUUUUCGCACUGUCAACACACACACACACCAUGGAGACCAUGUGCCAAUCCUAGUGUCAAAAAGUGCUCUCUGCAGUUCCAAAAGAAUCGCUUGAGGGUUUAGGGGUGGUUAUAGGUGCCAGUCAGUGGGCGUCUGUUACGUAAGCCCUCUGUGACAAAGGUCUGUACAGAAAAUACUUGAUUUGAUCACAAGAAUACAUGACCAGUAUGCCAGCGCUCCAGUCACAUGCAUUAAAUAUGUGAAACAACUCUUCCUGCAUUCCCAGCUUUUAUUCAGCCCAGUGGAGCGUUUUAGUUUAAGUGUAACAAUGGAGAGAUAACAGGGAGACAGCUCCGAGGUAAUCCUGAGAGAUGGCGAGCAUGGAAGCCUGCAUCGUUCUCAGAGCUACUCAGCACUUUGUCUUCUAAGACACUGGCACUUAAGGCACGGGAGAAUCCGCUUUCUAAUACUAAGCUGUGUCUGUGUGUAAGCAUGUGAGUGUGUCUCUGUGUGUGUGUGUGUCUGUGUGACCACGCUGCGUGUGUCGUGUGCGAGCGAGGAGAAGCAUAUCCAAUCCGUGUAUGGUCGGGGGAUUUGUACAUCACAAAGCUGACAUUGAACUAAUACCAUUUCAAUUAAAUCAGUCCUUCAAAUGGGAUGAGUCUCUCUGUCUCUUCCCGGCACUUGGCACCAUGUUCUUCUUCACACUGACAUGCUAAGUGAUGGACAGCGUACAUUAUGGUGGCUUCCAGUACAGUAUCUGUCAUCAGAGCCGCAGAUAACCUCAGUAUAAACCCCAACUAACAUGCAAGUAGACUGUAUCAUUGUUUUGGGGUGUGGACUCUCUUUAGUGUCCACUUUUUGUCCCACAGCCAUUUCUUCUGGGACCUCCUGAGCAGACGUCCAAAACGAGACCUAAACAAGCACUUUACUGGAGACCUCCACGGGCUUUCAUUUUUGUGGAGUUUCAGCACAAAAGCUGAUAAAUGAGGACGUUUUAUGCAAUUUGUAUGUUGCGUCCUAAGUGUUCUUCCGUGUGAAGAGAAAUUACAGAAGUUGUGACAGCAGGCAAAACUGCAGACUCUGUAGUUUGGCUGAGACAAAGUGAGCUGGCUGGCGUGACCCAGAUGCGAGUUUCAAAUAACACCUCCCAGUAAGUCAAUGUUAUUGAAUGGCCACAGAUUGAUCCACUGUGUCCUACCCAGACCAGAACAGAUGAUGCCAGAGCAAGGACAUCCUAACUACAAAGUCUGAAGAUGACAAUGUGAUUCUCCCAUCGCCACGCAGGUGGAAUUUUAAUGAAUGAUUUGUAGAAAAAUCCAGAAAAUGGCAUGUUGUGGAUUCUGCGGUGAGGCUAGAAGGCAGAAUAGGGCAGGUUGUC